GGUGGAUGCUCGCAAUGGUCAGGAAGUGGUUGCUAGGUAGCCUUUUCAUGAAGGAUUUGAACUCAUCUGAAUUCUCCAGAUCUUUAUAGGCUUCUGUCCAGGUCUUGGCCAUGUUGGCUAGAGUGUACUCCAUGAUCUGGAUGUCGGUGAUGGGGCAGUUGCACUGUGGGAACUCCUCCGCGCAUUGGCAGCCGCAUUGGCUGUUCCGGCAGAUGUACUCGCCCUCCCCAUUGCACAUGAUGUAGCUCAAGGCAGACUGGACAAACUUCUCU
This 272-nucleotide long non-coding RNA is filed under the name Gallus gallus (chicken). The record is from RNAcentral. Lineage: Eukaryota; Metazoa; Chordata; Aves; Galliformes; Phasianidae.